AGCAGCCGCGGUAAUUCCAGCUCCAAUAGCGUAUAUUAAAGUUGUUGCAGUUAAAAAGCUCGUAGUUGAAUUUCGGGGUCAAUACGUCGGUCGUGCCUUCGGUACGUACUGGUGUUAUUGAUCUCUCCCUUCUGAUGAAUCAUGAUGUCAUUAAUUUGGUGUCGUGGGGAGUCAGGACUGUUACUUUGAAAAAAUUAGAGUGUUUAAAGCAGGCCCACGCUUGAAUACAUUAGCAUGGAAUAAUGAAAUAGGACGUUCGAUCCUAUUUUGUUGGUUUCUAGGAUCAACGUAAUGAUUAAUAGGGAUAGUUGGGGGCAUUAGUAUUCAAUUGUCAGAGGUGAAAUUCUUGGAUUUAUUGAAGACUAACUACUGCGAAAGCAUUUGCCAAGGAUGUUUUCAUUAAUCAAGAACGAAAGUUAGGGGAUCGAAGACGAUCAGAUACCGUCGUAG
This 450-nucleotide ribosomal RNA is filed under the name uncultured Glomeromycotina. Its description in RNAcentral is "SSU rRNA". It matches the Rfam family "Eukaryotic small subunit ribosomal RNA", at positions 569 to 1023 of the family's 1831-position model. Lineage: Eukaryota; Fungi; Glomeromycota. The record is from RNAcentral.